RNAcentral lists this ribosomal RNA (445 nucleotides) under uncultured bacterium. Its description in RNAcentral is "partial 16S ribosomal RNA". It matches the Rfam family "Bacterial small subunit ribosomal RNA", at positions 354 to 796 of the family's 1533-position model. The record is from RNAcentral.
GUGAGGAAUAUUGGUCAAUGGGCGAGAGCCUGAACCAGCCAAGUCGCGUGAAGGAAGAAGGAUCUAUGGUUCGUAAACUUCUUUUGCAGGGGAAUAAAGUGCAGGACGUGUCCUGUUUUGUAUGUACCCUGAGAAUAAGGAUCGGCUAACUCCGUGCCAGCAGCCGCGGUAAUACGGAGGAUCCGAGCGUUAUCCGGAUUUAUUGGGUUUAAAGGGUGCGUAGGUGGUUUGAUAAGUCAGCGGUUAAAGUUUGCAGCUUAACUGUAAAAAUGCCGUUGAAACUGUCGGACUUGAGUGUAAAUGAGGUAGGCGGAAUGCGUGGUGUAGCGGUGAAAUGCAUAGAUAUCACGCAGAACUCCGAUUGCGAAGGCAGCUUACUAAGCUACAACUGACACUGAAGCACGAAAGCGUGGGGAUCAAACAGGAUUAGAUACCCCGGUAGUCC